AUUGAACGCUGGCGGCAGGCCUAACACAUGCAAGUCGAGCGGAUGAAGGGAGCUUUCUCCUGGAUUCAGCGGCGGACGGGUGAGUAAUGCCUAGGAAUCUGCCUGGUAGUGGGUGAUAACGUCCGCAAACGGGCGCUAAUACCGCAUACGUCCUGAGGGAGAAAGUGGGGGAUCUUCGGACCUCACGCUAUCAGAUGAGCCUAGGUCGGAUUAGCUAGUUGGUGGGGUAAAGGCCUACCAAGGCGACGAUCCGUAACUGGUCUGAGAGGAUGAUAAGUCACCCUGGAACUGAGACACGGACAAGACUCCUAAGGGAGGCAGCAGUGGGGAAUAUUGGACAAUGGGCGAAAGCCUGAUCCAGCCAUGCCGCGUGUGUGAAGAAGGUCUUCGGAUUGUAAAGAACUUUAAGUUGGGAGGAAGGGCAGUAAGUUAAUACCUUGCUGUUUUGACGUUACCAACAGGAUAAGCACCGGCUAACUUCGUG
Molecule: ribosomal RNA, 484 nt
Filed under: uncultured bacterium
Lineage: Bacteria
Description: partial 16S ribosomal RNA
Rfam family: Bacterial small subunit ribosomal RNA
Source: RNAcentral